This 496-nucleotide ribosomal RNA is filed under the name uncultured bacterium. RNAcentral describes it as "partial 16S ribosomal RNA". It matches the Rfam family "Bacterial small subunit ribosomal RNA", at positions 29 to 507 of the family's 1533-position model. The record is from RNAcentral.
AUGAACGCUGGCGGCGUGCCUAAUACAUGCAAGUCGCGCGAACAGAUAAGGAGCUUGCUCCUUUGACGUUAGCGGCGGACGGGUGAGUAACACGUGGGUAACCUACCUAUAAGACUGGGAUAACUUCGGGAAACCGGAGCUAAUACCGGAUAACAUUUGGAACCGCAUGGUUCUAAAGUGAAAGAUGGUUUUGCUAUCACUUAUAGAUGGACCCGCGCCGUAUUAGCUAGUUGGUAAGGUAACGGCUUACCAAGGCAACGAUACGUAGCCGACCUGAGAGGGUGAUCGGCCACACUGGAACUGAGACACGGUCCAGACUCCUACGGGAGGCAGCAGUAGGGAAUCUUCCGCAAUGGGCGAAAGCCUGACGGAGCAACGCCGCGUGAGUGAUGAAGGGUUUCGGCUCGUAAAACUCUGUUAUUAGGGAAGAACAAACGUGUAAGUAACUGUGCACGUCUUGACGGUACCUAAUCAGAAAGCCACGGCUAACUACGUG